CUGCUCGGAGUAUCAUCCUGCAGUAAUAGAAAUCUCAUCUUGCGACGUCGCUUCUCUCCUCCCGAAUCCCUUGUCUCGUGCCCGAUCCACCUUCACCUGGAGCUCCACCUCGUUAUGGGCUCCACUUGGUUUUUGAAGCUCCACCUCACACAGGGCUCUCCGUCAGAUAAUAAUGUCCUCUUCUCCCCUUCUUUCCCUCCAGAACAAUCCUAUCACCGCGUAG
RNAcentral lists this long non-coding RNA (223 nucleotides) under Elaeis guineensis (African oil palm). Its description in RNAcentral is "long non-coding RNA (EGUI_LNC036793)". Lineage: Eukaryota; Viridiplantae; Streptophyta; Magnoliopsida; Arecales; Arecaceae. The record is from RNAcentral.